This 201-nucleotide ribosomal RNA is filed under the name uncultured bacterium. RNAcentral's name for it is "partial 16S ribosomal RNA". It matches the Rfam family "Bacterial small subunit ribosomal RNA", at positions 328 to 539 of the family's 1533-position model. The record is from RNAcentral.
ACGCUCGACACCUACGGGAGGCAGCAGUGGGGAAUAUUGGGCAAUGGGCGAAAGCCUGACCCAGCAACGCCGCGUGAGGGAAGAAGGUUUUCGGAUUGUAAACCUCUGUCCUCAGGGACGAAGGACGUGACGGUACCUGAGGAGGAAGCCCCGGCUAACUACGUGCCCGCAGCCGCGGUAAUCUGAGCGGGCUGGCAAGGC